RNAcentral lists this ribosomal RNA (448 nucleotides) under uncultured organism. RNAcentral's name for it is "partial 16S ribosomal RNA". It matches the Rfam family "Bacterial small subunit ribosomal RNA", at positions 333 to 797 of the family's 1533-position model. The record is from RNAcentral.
ACACUCCUACGGGAGGCAGCAGUGGGGAAUAUUGGACAAUGGGGGCAACCCUGAUCCAGCCAUGCCGCGUGAGUGAUGAAGGCCCUAGGGUUGUAAAGCUCUUUUGUGCGGGAAGAUAAUGACGGUACCGCAAGAAUAAGCCCCGGCUAACUUCGUGCCUGCAGCCGCGGUAAUACGAAGGGGGCUAGCGUUGCUCGGAAUCACUGGGCGUAAAGGGUGCGUAGGCGGGUCUUUAAGUCAGGGGUGAAAUCCUGGAGCUCAACUCCAGAACUGCCUUUGAUACUGAGGAUCUUGAGUCCGGAAGAGGUGAGUGGAACUGCGAGUGUAGAGGUGAAAUUCGUAGAUAUUCGCAAGAACACCAGUGGCGAAGGCGGCUCACUGGUCCGGUACUGACGCUGAGGCACGAAAGCGUGGGGAGCAAACAGGAUUAGAUACCCUAGUAGUCCCA